Molecule: unclassified non-coding RNA, 302 nt
Filed under: uncultured Rhizophagus
Lineage: Eukaryota; Fungi; Glomeromycota; Glomeromycetes; Glomerales; Glomeraceae
Description: sequence contains ITS2
Source: RNAcentral
AACGCAAAUUGCACUCUCUGGCAACCCGGGGAGUAUGCCUGUUUGAGGGUCAGUGUUAAUAAAAAUCGGGUGCGUUGCAAUUUUUGUGACGUUUCCGGAGUUUGAGUUUAUCUUAAUUAACUUCGGUUUUAAGAGGCUUAAAAUUGACCUUUUUUUUGUGCAUUUUAGACGUACAUAAAUUUUUUUUUAUUCGUCCAUCCUAAUGCCAAAAUCUAUUAGAUGCGACCAUAUCUUGUGGUUCCGUGUCUAUAAAUUUUUCAUGAUUUGACCUCAAAUCAGGUAGGAACACCCGCUGAACUUAA